Molecule: ribosomal RNA, 825 nt
Filed under: Mycobacterium sp.
Lineage: Bacteria; Bacillati; Actinomycetota; Actinomycetes; Mycobacteriales; Mycobacteriaceae
Description: bacterial SSU rRNA
Rfam family: Bacterial small subunit ribosomal RNA
Source: RNAcentral
UGAGUAACACGUGGGCAAUCUGCCCUGCACUUCGGGAUAAGCCUGGGAAACUGGGUCUAAUACCGGAUAGGACCUUUAGACGCAUGUCUUUUGGUGGAAAGCUUUUGCGGUGUGGGAUGGGCCCGCGGCCUAUCAGCUUGUUGGUGGGGUGAUGGCCUACCAAGGCGACGACGGGUAGCCGGCCUGAGAGGGUGUCCGGCCACACUGGGACUGAGAUACGGCCCAGACUCCUACGGGAGGCAGCAGUGGGGAAUAUUGCACAAUGGGCGCAAGCCUGAUGCAGCGACGCCGCGUGGGGGAUGACGGCCUUCGGGUUGUAAACCUCUUUCACCAUCGACGAAGGUCCGGGUUUUCUCGGAUUGACGGUAGGUGGAGAAGAAGCACCGGCCAACUACGUGCCAGCAGCCGCGGUAAUACGUAGGGUGCGAGCGUUGUCCGGAAUUACUGGGCGUAAAGAGCUCGUAGGUGGUUUGUCGCGUUGUUCGUGAAAUCUCACGGCUUAACUGUGAGCGUGCGGGCGAUACGGGCAGACUAGAGUACUGCAGGGGAGACUGGAAUUCCUGGUGUAGCGGUGGAAUGCGCAGAUAUCAGGAGGAACACCGGUGGCGAAGGCGGGUCUCUGGGCAGUAACUGACGCUGAGGAGCGAAAGCGUGGGGAGCGAACAGGAUUAGAUACCCUGGUAGUCCACGCCGUAAACGGUGGGUACUAGGUGUGGGUUUCCUUCCUUGGGAUCCGUGCCGUAGCUAACGCAUUAAGUACCCCGCCUGGGGGAGUACGGGCCGCAAGGCUAAAACUCAAAAGGANUUGACGGGGGGCCCGCACAA